CUACGGGGUGCUCCAGUGGGGAAUAUUGGACAAUGGGGGAAACCCUGAUCCAGCAAUGCCGCGUGUGUGAAGAAGGCCUGCGGGUUGUAAAGCACUUUCGGUUGGGAGGACUGCUUCUAGCACUAAUAUUGUUGGAAGUUGACGUUACCUUCAGAAGAAGCACCGGCUAACUCCGUGCCAGCAGCCGCGGUAAUGACGGAGGGUGCAAGCGUUAAUCGGAGUUACUGGGCGUAAAGCGCGCGUAGGCGGCUAGAUCAGUCGGGUGUGAAAGCCCCGGGCUUAACCUGGGAACUGCAUCCGAUACUGUCUAGCUUGAGUACAGGAGAGGAGAGUGGAAUUCCACAUGUAGCGGUGAAAUGCGUAGAUAUGUGGAGGAACACCAAUGGCGAAGGCAGCUCUCUGGCCUGAUACUGACGCUGAGGUGCGAAAGCGUGGGGAGCAAACAGGAUUAGAUACCCUUGUAGUC
Molecule: ribosomal RNA, 466 nt
Filed under: uncultured bacterium
Lineage: Bacteria
Description: partial 16S ribosomal RNA
Rfam family: Bacterial small subunit ribosomal RNA
Source: RNAcentral